GCGAGAACGGAAGGCCCAAACCAACAAGGUUUGCUUUUGGGGUUUUAGGCCCUUUUUUCGGGGGUUCCAAAGGGCGCCUUUGGCGGAUUCUUCUGGAAAGAUGAAUCAAAGAAGGUAAUAAUCCUGUAGUCGAAAAUGUUGUCUCUCUUGAGUGGAUCCUGAGUACGACGGAGCACGUGAAAUUCCGUCGGAAUCUGGGAGGACCAUCUCCUAAGGCUAAAUACUCUCUAGUGACCGAUAGUGAACCAGUACCGUGAGGGAAAGGUGAAAAGCACCCCGGAAGGGGAGUGAAAUAGAACCUGAAACCGUGUGCUUACAAGUAGUCAGAGCCCGUUAAUGGGUGAUGGCGUGCCUUUUGUAGAAUGAACCGGCGAGUUACGAUUUGAUGCAAGGUUAAGCAGUAAAUGUGGAGCCGUAGCGAAAGCGAGUCUGAAUAGGGCGUUUAGUAUUUGGUCGUAGACCCGAAACCAGGUGAUCUACCCUUGGUCAGGUUGAAGUUCAGGUAACACUGAAUGGAGGACCGAACCGACUUACGUUGAAAAGUGAGCGGAUGAACUGAGGGUAGCGGAGAAAUUCCAAUCGAACCUGGAGAUAGCUGGUUCUCUCCGAAAUAGCUUUAGGGCUAGCCUCAAGUGAUGAUUAUUGGAGGUAGAGCACUGUUUGGACGAGGGGCCCCUCUCGGGUUACCGAAUUCAGACAAACUCCGAAUGCCAAUUAAUUUAACUUGGGAGUCAGAACAUGGGUGAUAAGGUCCGUGUUCGAAAGGGAAACAGCCCAGACCACCAGCUAAGGUCCCAAAAUAUAUGUUAAGUGGAAAAGGAUGUGGCGUUGCCCAGACAACUAGGAUGUUGGCUUAGAAGCAGCCAUCAUUUAAAGAGUGCGUAAUAGCUCACUAGUCGAGUGACACUGCGCCGAAAAUGUACCGGGGCUAAACAUAUUACCGAAGCUGUGGAUUGUCCUUUGGACAAUGGUAGGAGAGCGUUCUAAGGGCGUUGAAGCAUGAUCGUAAGGACAUGUGGAGCGCUUAGAAGUGAGAAUGCCGGUGUGAGUAGCGAAAGACGGGUGAGAAUCCCGUCCACCGAUUGACUAAGGUUUCCAGAGGAAGGCUCGUCCGCUCUGGGUUAGUCGGGUCCUAAGCUGAGGCCGACAGGCGUAGGCGAUGAUAACCGGUUGCUAUUGGGUGUACGCACCCCUAUAUCGUUUAUCGAGUGGG
Molecule: ribosomal RNA, 1213 nt
Filed under: Staphylococcus aureus
Lineage: Bacteria; Bacillati; Bacillota; Bacilli; Caryophanales; Staphylococcaceae
Description: partial 23S ribosomal RNA
Rfam family: Bacterial large subunit ribosomal RNA
Source: RNAcentral